Molecule: ribosomal RNA, 285 nt
Filed under: uncultured Alphaproteobacteria bacterium
Lineage: Bacteria; Pseudomonadati; Pseudomonadota; Alphaproteobacteria
Description: partial 16S ribosomal RNA
Rfam family: Bacterial small subunit ribosomal RNA
Source: RNAcentral
GUUCGGUUAGUCCGGCACGAGCGCAACCCACAUCUUCAGUUGCCAUCAGGUUAUGCUGGGCACUCUGGAGAAACUGCCCGUGAUAAGCGGGAGGAAGGUGUGGAUGACGUCAAGUCCUCAUGGCCCUUACGGGUUGGGCUACACACGUGCUACAAUGGUAGUGACAAUGGGUUAAUCCCAAAAAGCUAUCUCAGUUCGGAUUGGGGUCUGCAACUCGACCCCAUGAAGUCGGAAUCGCUAGUAAUCGCGUAACAGCAUGACGCGGUGAAUACGUUCCCGGGCCUU